UAAGCGCCGGUAAGGUGAUAUGAACCGUUAUAACCGGCGAUACCCGAAUGGGGAAACCCAGUGUGACUCGUCACACUAUCAUUAACUGAAUCCAUAGGUUAAUGAGGCGAACCGGGGGAACUGAAACAUCUAAGUACCCCGAGGAAAAGAAAUCAACCGAGAUUCCCCCAGUAGCGGCGAGCGAACGGGGAGGAGCCCAGAGCCUGAAUCAGCAUGUGUGUUAGUGGAAGCGUCUGGAAAGGCGCGCGAUACAGGGUGACAGCCCCGUACACAAAAGCGCAUGUGCUGUGAGCUCGAUGAGUAGGGCGGGACACGUGGUAUCCUGUCUGAAUAUGGGGGGACCAUCCUCCAAGGCUAAAUACUCCUGACUGACCGAUAGUGAACCAGUACCGUGAGGGAAAGGCGAAAAGAACCCCGGCGAGGGGAGUGAAAAAGAACCUGAAACCGUGUACGUACAAGCAGUGGGAGCACAGGUUUACCUGUGUGACUGCGUACCUUUUGUAUAAUGGGUCAGCGACUUAUAUUCUGUAGCAAGGUUAACCGAAUAGGGGAGCCGGAGGGAAACCGAGUCUUAAU
RNAcentral lists this ribosomal RNA (576 nucleotides) under Salmonella enterica subsp. enterica serovar Newport. RNAcentral describes it as "partial 23S ribosomal RNA". It matches the Rfam family "Bacterial large subunit ribosomal RNA", at positions 72 to 688 of the family's 2925-position model. Lineage: Bacteria; Pseudomonadati; Pseudomonadota; Gammaproteobacteria; Enterobacterales; Enterobacteriaceae. The record is from RNAcentral.